RNAcentral lists this ribosomal RNA (253 nucleotides) under uncultured bacterium. RNAcentral describes it as "partial 16S ribosomal RNA". It matches the Rfam family "Bacterial small subunit ribosomal RNA", at positions 524 to 776 of the family's 1533-position model. The record is from RNAcentral.
UACAGAGGGUGCAAGCGUUAAUCGGAAUUACUGGGCGUAAAGCGCACGCAGGCGGUUGGUUAAGUUGGAUGUGAAAGCCCCGGGCUCAACCUGGGAAUUGCAUUUGAAACUGGCCAACUAGAGUGUGUGAGAGGGGGGUAGAAUUCCAAGUGUAGCGGUGAAAUGCGUAGAGAUUUGGAGGAAUACCAGUGGCGAAGGCGGCCCCCUGGCACAACACUGACGCUCAGGUGCGAAAGCGUGGGGAGCAAACAGG